AAUUAAUGAGCUUGUCUAAGCUUUUGUUUUGAAAACUUAAGAAAGAAAAUUAUAUUUCUAUUAAUUU
Molecule: transfer RNA, 67 nt
Filed under: Hydropsyche simulata
Lineage: Eukaryota; Metazoa; Arthropoda; Insecta; Trichoptera; Hydropsychidae
Description: tRNA-Ser
Source: RNAcentral